GUGGGGAAUAUUGGGCAAUGGGGGAAACCCUGACCCAGCGACGCCGCGUGAGGGAAGACGGCCUUCGGGUUGUAAACCUCUUUUGUACGGGAAGAAGGAAGUGACGGUACUGUACGAAUAAGUCCCGGCUAACUACGUGCCAGCAGCCGCGGUAAUACGUAGGGGACGAGCGUUGUCCGGAAUUACUGGGCGUAAAGGGCGCGCAGGCUGUGCUGCAAGUCAGCUGUGAAAUGUCUGGGCUUAACCCGGGCAUGCGGUUGAGACUGCAGUGCUGGAGUGCUGUAGAGGCAAGUGGAAUUCCCAGUGUAGCGGUGAAAUGCGUAGAUAUUGGGAAGAACACCGGUGGCGAAGGCGACUUGCUGGGCAGCAAUUGACGCUGAGGCGCGAAAGCCAGGGGAGCAAACGGGAUUAGAAACCCUAGUAGUCC
Molecule: ribosomal RNA, 427 nt
Filed under: uncultured bacterium
Lineage: Bacteria
Description: partial 16S ribosomal RNA
Rfam family: Bacterial small subunit ribosomal RNA
Source: RNAcentral